RNAcentral lists this long non-coding RNA (1397 nucleotides) under Calidris pugnax (ruff). RNAcentral describes it as "lncRNA (ENSCPUG00000010093.1)". The record is from RNAcentral. Lineage: Eukaryota; Metazoa; Chordata; Aves; Charadriiformes; Scolopacidae.
CUCGCUCUCUCUCUCUCUCCCUCCGCUCCCUCCACUCUCGCCUCUACAUAUAUAUAUACAUACACACUUUAUAUAUAUAUAUAUAUGUAUAUAUUAAACGGGAAAGGGGGGGAAAAAAUCCUAAAAGAAAUGGGGGUGGGGAGGGAGAGGAAGGGAGAACCUUUGGUGUCUCUGCGGACAGGCAGGUGGAAGAGAAAAGCUGAAAAUAAUUAAGCCGGUUUUUGAGGAAUCCUUAGGAGAGGGGAAAAACGCAGUUAAAAGCCAGUAAAUCAUUAGAUCCAAGCAGACAAUCAAGUCUUCUCCUUUAAAAAAAAAUAUACAGCAGGGUUCAGAGUAGCUUUCCCAGCAGCGAAGAGCAAGAAUGGUCUUCUUCAGAAAGAUAUGUUUGUUUAAAAUCCACUCGUCUGCUUUUCUUUCUUUCUCUCUCUUCUCCCCCCACUUUUUUUUUUUUCCCUUUUUUUUUCUUUCCAAAUUCUGCUUCUGAAUCUCUCUCUGUGAAACUAGAUCCAGUCUUUUUGUAGCCAGGGGCUGCAUUAAGGAUUACAUCAGGCUUUUAUAAGCUUUCCAGAUCACACAUUAGAGUGAGAGAGAGAGAGAGAGAGAGAGAGAGGGGGAGAGGGAGGGAGGGAUAGGAGGGAGGGAUAAAAUGCACACACACACAUACAUACACACGCACACGCACAGAUCGGAGCUUUGUAAAACAGGCAGCUAUAGGCAAGGACCCCAACUGCCACCGUAUCGCAUCGGGCAUGUACCGCUAGCCUAUAGGAAGAGAGGAUGGAUGGAAGGAUGGAUGGAUGGAUGGAUGGAUGGAUGGAUGGAUGGAUGGAUGGAGCAGAGGAACCAGCGGGAGCCGGAGCGCGUUGGCAACGCAGCCUCCCCGGGACAGCUUAGCCCUAAGCGGGGAGCCAGGAGGGUAUUUGGUAUAUCAAAGCUACACAGUGAAGGGAUUUCAUUAAUUGAAGCUUAAAGAAGCUCCUAAGCUUCCUGACUGCAUGAGUACCAGUUUUGUGCCAGAUCUGCUAAUGUCUCUGACAAAGUUGGGGCAAACUCACAUCUCCACCCUUGCAGCAGAAACAAUGACCCCCACACCUGAAAUUGAAUAAGAAAAAAACAACAACCCACCUUUGAAAUGAAGGAAAAAUAGUUUCCUGCAGGAACAUUCCCUCCUUCCACAUUUGAAUUUCCCCAUAGCAAGGAGCCCACUAAAAAGUGACAUCUCCAACAGUCAUUUCUAAGUAAUCCCACCUAGUAAUUGACCAAACCUGUAGGUCAUCUUCUUGCCCCUAUGUUUCCAGCACCCAGGGACUACCUCUCAGCUGGUUGACAUAAAAGGAUCCAAGUCAGCUUUUCACUGAUAUGAGAAAAGAUAAGCAAUAAAAAAAAAAAAGCCUCCA